GUCCACGCCCUAAACGAUGUCAACUAGGUGUUGGGGGAGCGAUUUCUCAGUACCGUAGCUAACGCGCGAAGUUGACCGCCUGGGGAGUACGGCCGCAAGGUUAAAACUCAAAGGAAUUGACGGGGACCCGCACAAGCGGUGGAUGAUGUGGAUUAAUUCGAUGCAACGCGAACAACCUUACCUACCCUUGACAUGUCCGGAACCCUGCUGAGAGGUGGGGGUGCCCGAAAGGGAAUCGGAACACAGGUGCUGCAUGGCUGUCGU
Molecule: ribosomal RNA, 264 nt
Filed under: uncultured bacterium
Lineage: Bacteria
Description: partial 16S ribosomal RNA
Rfam family: Bacterial small subunit ribosomal RNA
Source: RNAcentral